CUCAUUAAAUCAGUUAUAGUUUAUUUGAUGGUCUCUUUUGUCUUUUUUUACCUACUUGGAUAACCGUGGUAAUUCUAGAGCUAAUACAUGCGCAAGGUCCCAAGCGCGGAGAGUAAGGCUUCACGGCUUUAUUCUUGCAUGCGCAGCGGGAUGUAUUUAUUAGGUUAAAAACCAGCACGCUGGCGACAGCGUCCAAUUCACUGGUGAUUCAUAGUAACUCUUUCGGAUCGCAUUCAUG
This 238-nucleotide ribosomal RNA is filed under the name uncultured Comandonia. RNAcentral describes it as "partial 18S ribosomal RNA". It matches the Rfam family "Eukaryotic small subunit ribosomal RNA", at positions 97 to 279 of the family's 1831-position model. The record is from RNAcentral. Lineage: Eukaryota; Discosea; Longamoebia; Acanthamoebidae.